UUAAACAGAUGAUGAAACGAACAAAUCUUAGGACACCUUCUGACACAGCGCCAAACUGUGUAUGAGAAAUGAUUUUCGUUUCUGAUGUUUCU
Molecule: small nucleolar RNA, 92 nt
Organism: Impatiens glandulifera
Lineage: Eukaryota; Viridiplantae; Streptophyta; Magnoliopsida; Ericales; Balsaminaceae
Product: small nucleolar RNA snoR31/Z110/Z27
Exons: 1
Source: RefSeq, a predicted model, not a curated record